GGAAGGGUGGGGAUGACGUCAAGUCAUCAUCGGCCCUUACGGCCGUGGGCUACACACGUGCUACAAUGGUCGGUACAAAGGGUUGCCAAGCCGCGAGGUGGAGCUAAUCCCAUAAAACCGAUCGUAGUCCGGAUCGCAGUCUGCAACUCGACUGCGUGAAGUCGGAAUCGCUAGUAAUCGUGAAUCAGAAUGUCACGGUGAAUACGUUCCCGGGCCUU
RNAcentral lists this ribosomal RNA (218 nucleotides) under uncultured Pseudomonas sp. RNAcentral's name for it is "partial 16S ribosomal RNA". It matches the Rfam family "Bacterial small subunit ribosomal RNA", at positions 1167 to 1382 of the family's 1533-position model. The record is from RNAcentral. Lineage: Bacteria; Pseudomonadati; Pseudomonadota; Gammaproteobacteria; Pseudomonadales; Pseudomonadaceae.